RNAcentral lists this unclassified non-coding RNA (253 nucleotides) under uncultured Xylariales. RNAcentral describes it as "sequence contains 5.8S rRNA gene, ITS2, 28S rRNA gene". The record is from RNAcentral. Lineage: Eukaryota; Fungi; Ascomycota; Sordariomycetes; Xylariales.
AACGCACAUUGCGCCCAUUAGUAUUCUAGUGGGCAUGCCUGUUCGAGCGUCAUUUCAACCCUUAAGCCUUCUGUUGCUUAGCGUUGGGGGCCUACUGUGUAGCGGUAGCCCUUUAAAAUCAGUGGCGGAGUCGGUUCACACUCUAGACGUAGUAAAUAUUAUCUCGCCUAUUAGUUGGACCGGUCCCCUGCCGUAAAACACCUAAUUUCUCAAGGUUGACCUCGGAUCAGGUAGGAAUACCCGCUGAACUUAA